GAUGAACGCUGGCGGUGUGCCUAAUACAUGCAAGUCGAGCGAACAGACGAGGAGCUUACUCCUCUGACGUUAGCGGCGGACGGGUGAGUAACACGUGGAUAACCUACCUAUAAGACUGGGAUAACUUCGGGAAACCGGAGCUAAUACCGGAUAACAUGUUGAACCGCACGGUUCAACAGUGAAAGACGGUCUUGCUGUCACUUAUAGAUGGAUCCGCGUCGCAUUAGCUAGUUGGUAAGGUAACGGCUUACCAAGGCAACGAUGCGUAGCCGACCUGAGAGGGUGAUCGGCCACACUGGAACUGAGACACGGUCCAGACUCCUACGGGAGGCAGCAGUAGGGAAUCUUCCGCAAUGGGCGAAAGCCUGACGGAGCAACGCCGCGUGAGUGAAGAAGGUCUUCGGAUCGUAAAACUCUGUUAUUAGGGAAGAACAAAUGUGUAAGUAACUAUGCACGUCUUGACGGUACCUAAUCAGAAAGCCACGGCUAACUACGUG
Molecule: ribosomal RNA, 497 nt
Filed under: uncultured bacterium
Lineage: Bacteria
Description: partial 16S ribosomal RNA
Rfam family: Bacterial small subunit ribosomal RNA
Source: RNAcentral